CCUACGGGAGGCAGCAGUAGGGAAUAUUGGUCAAUGGGCGCAAGCCUGAACCAGCCAUGCCGCGUGCAGGAUGAAGGCUUUAUGAGUUGUAAACUGCUUUUGUACAGGAACAAAAAAGCCCCUGCGGGGGUUCUUGAGUGUACUGUAAGAAUAAGCACCGGCUAAUUCCGUGCCAGCAGCCGCGGUAAUACGGAAGGUGCAAGCGUUAUCCGGUUUUAUUGGGUUUAAAGGGUGCGUAGGCGGCUUAUUAAGUCAGUUGUGAAAUCCUAGUGCUUAACGCUAGAACUGCGAUUGAUACUGGUAGGCUUGAGUCAAGAAGAGGUAAGUAGAAUUUAUGGUGUAGUAGUGAAAUGCUUAGAUAUCAUAAGGAAUACCAAGAGCGUAGGCAGCUUACUGGUCUUGAACUGACGCUGAGGCACGAAAGCGUGGGGAGCAAACAGGAUUAGAUACCCCAGUAGU
Molecule: ribosomal RNA, 459 nt
Filed under: uncultured Candidatus Cardinium sp.
Lineage: Bacteria; Pseudomonadati; Bacteroidota; Cytophagia; Cytophagales; Amoebophilaceae
Description: bacterial SSU rRNA
Rfam family: Bacterial small subunit ribosomal RNA
Source: RNAcentral